Molecule: ribosomal RNA, 1338 nt
Filed under: uncultured bacterium
Lineage: Bacteria
Description: bacterial SSU rRNA
Rfam family: Bacterial small subunit ribosomal RNA
Source: RNAcentral
GAUGAACGCUGGCGGCGUGCCUAAUACAUGCAAGUCGAACGGGAAGGCACUUUCGAGUGCCUGAGAGUGGCGUCCGGGUGAGUACCACGUAGCUGACCUACCUCAUGCAGGGGGAUAACCCCGCGAAAGCGGGGCUAAGACCGCGUAAGCUCUGGGGGACUAGAAGUCUCAGAGGAAAACCCCUUCGGGGGUGGCAAGAGAGGGGGCUGCGUUCCAUCAGCUGGUUGGUGGGGUAAAGGCCUACCAAGGCGACGACGGAUCGGGGACCUGAGAGGGUGAUCCCCCACACUGGAACUGACACACGGUCCAGACUCCUACGGGAGGCAGCAGUAAGGAAUAUUGGUCAAUGGGCGCAAGCCUGAACCAGCAACGCCGCGUGCGGGAUGAAGGGUUUCGGCCUGUAAACCGCUUUUCUGACGGACGAUGAUGACGGUACGUCAGGAAGAAGUCUCGGCUAACUACGUGCCAGCAGCCGCGGUAAAACGUAGGAGGCAAGCGUUAUCCGGAUUUACUGGGCGUAAAGCGCGUGCAGGCGGUUGGGUAAGUCAUGUGUGAAAGCUCCUCGCUCAACGGGGAGAGGACAGGUGAGACUGCCUAACUAGAGGGUGGUAGAGGCAAGUGGAAUUCCGGGUGGAGUGGUGAAAUGCGUAGAGAUCCGGAGGAACCCCUGUGGCGAAGGCGACUUGCUAGGCCAUCACUGACGCUCAGACGCGAAAGCAUGGGGAGCGAACGGGAUUAGAAACCCCGGUAGUCCAUGCCGUAAACGAUGUUCACUAGGCGUUUCGGGGCAGUCGCUCUGGGGUGCCGCAGCCAACGCGGGAAGUGAACCGCCUGGGGAGUACGACCGCAAGGUUAAAACUCAAAGGAAUUGACGGGGGCCCGCACAAGCAGCGGAGCGUGUGGUUUAAUUCGAGGCUACGCGAAGAACCUUACCUAGGUUUGACAUGGCGGUGGUAGGCGAUGGAAACAUGGCUGACCUUCGGGAGCCGUCACAGGUGCUGCAUGGCUGUCGUCAGCUCGUGUCGUGAGAUGUUCGGUUAAGUCCGGUAACGAGCGCAACCCUCGGGGUCAGUUACAAGUGUCUGGCCCGACUGCCCGGUGGAACUGGGAGGAAGGUGGGGAUGACGUCAAGUCAGCAUGGCCUUUAUAUCUAGGGCGACACACACGCUACAAUGGCUGGUACAAUCGGUAGCGAAGGGGCGACCCGGAGCCAAUCCAGCAAAACCAGUCUCAGUUCGGAUUGCAGGCUGCAACUCGCCUGCAUGAAGUUGGAGUUGCUAGUAAACGCGGAUCAGCCACGCCGCGUUGAAUACGUUCCCGGGCCUUGUACACACCGCC